GCCCUCGCGGGCCCCUCGUCACACUCUGGAUGCAAUGCGCUCGCGCGCUAGUCUUGGCUCCGGCCUCGACACAACCUUUGUAAUCCAUGUCAUGCUUGUAUUGAAAUGUGAAAGAUUUACAACCAGUAGCGUUGGAUCCCUUGGCACGUCAUUCGAUGAAGACCGUUGCAAAAUGCGAUAAGUGGUGUGAUAUGCAAGUCCAAAACUUAUACGUGAAUCAUCGAAUUGUUGAACGCACUGCAUCGAGCCUUACCCAGGAACGAUACGCCCCAUUGAGCGUCAUUACGUCUUCGCGACCGGCCAUUUGGUUGACCGGUCCGGGUUCGGGAUUCACAGCCCGUCAAGGUUGCGCUUCCUUAGAAACAUGUCUGCGUCGGUGCCGACGGUGACCUUGUCAUGAAUGUCGAGGUGUGCCGGCAAGCGCCGCGUGCAAGAUCCGCACCUUGCGUGUGGAUCAACGGCAGCCACCUCGCGGUGGAGGCGACUUCUCUACAUGACCUCACGGGGGUGGGACGACCCGCUAGACUUAAGCAUAUUAAUCA
RNAcentral lists this ribosomal RNA (542 nucleotides) under uncultured Tulasnellaceae. RNAcentral describes it as "eukaryotic LSU rRNA". The stretch from base 121 to 282 matches the Rfam family "5.8S ribosomal RNA". The record is from RNAcentral. Lineage: Eukaryota; Fungi; Basidiomycota; Agaricomycetes; Cantharellales; Tulasnellaceae.